AAUUUUUUUUAUAGCUUAAUGAGUGUUCAUAGUAUUAUGAAUACUUUUUAUGAAGGUUUUUGAUUCUGUAUGUAGGUUUUCGAUUCCAUUUAUGAAAGAUGUAUGCAUAGCAUAAAUAUUAAAUGGGAAAGUAAUCUAAAUAUACAUUAAAAAAAGAAAACCUGCUUUUCCAUUCAAUGGCAGUCUUCCUUUAAGUUAGGAAUGGAUAAAUUUAAAGAUAACCUCUUUGUCACUGGUCUGAACAUCAGAAAACGAGGGCUUUGUUAGAAAGUGUGGUAAUUGUAGACCUUCAGUCAAUCCUGGAAACUGCUCUAUUCUAUUACCAGCAUUCUAACUCAUUUCAGCAGUCAGAAUAGAGCAGGGAAAAGUGACCUUGACUACUGUGCCUGCCCAUCCUUGUAUGGAAUAUUUGUCAAACUUGACAAAUUUUGCAAAACUGUAACGCUGUGCACAUUGAAUGGAAAAAUUUGAGAAUUCAAAGCAGAUAAAAGUGCUUUUCAGAACUCAAUUGGUUUCCCCAUCCCUCACUGUCAGGCCCAUUCGCUAUCACCCAAUGUUUCUUUGUUUUGUUCUUCUUGACAUCCUCUCUCCCUCUAUCUCUGCCUCACUCCUUUUCUCUCUUUCUCUCUCCCUCUCCAUCUCUCUCUCAAUCACUAUCAAGACAUCUUUUUAUAAGGCCCUUUAAUACAUCACAGUACCCCCACUUUUCUACUUUUAAUUUCCUUUUUAUUCUCUCUUGCUUUUUUCUAAAUAGUUAUAAAUAUUGAAGAAGAACCACAUUGUAAGGGAAUAAGACCUACCCUCAAACAACAACAACAAAAACAAUUUAUCACUCACUUGAGUUGAGCACACUGCAAACUAAGGAUCCUGGUCAAAGGAACAGGAGAAUUUGCAGCUAGUUAUUUUCUAGAGGUCUUAUAACCAAACAGUCCCUAGAACACAUAAUACUUCCCUACUAUUAUUCAUUCAUAUAUUUCAUGGUAGAAAAGUCACAGACUAGCCUUGAUGUUAAUCCCACUCUUUCUGGUCCUCUAUUGGUCCUACAUUAUGCCCUAACCUAACUUUCCUUCUAAUGAGAACUCCGAUUUAAUGCCCCUGGAAAAAAAUGUCAUCUAGAUUUGUGAAGAAUCUUAUCUGUUCACUAAAGGUACUCCUGAGCUCUUUCAUAUGAAUUCUGGAAAUCAGAGAAUCUACAGCAAUACCCUCUUAAAUCAUACUAAGAAGCCAAAAUCCCUUAGGAAAAUGCUGGGAGUUUUGAGCAAAUACAAUUUCCUUGCUGGCACUAUAAGAAUUGUAAAAUCUUUGGGAAAACCUGGAGGAAAGAAUUGAUCUGUGAUGCUAACUAUUGAAUCAACUGGUGCUUUGUGUAAGGUUAAGCCAUUUGAAGCAGUCAAGAGAUCUGUUACAUGGACCUCGUGAGAGCUUGAUGCAUUCGUCUGGCUUCUUUAUGAUCUGACAUACUUAUGGCCUUUGUGGUGAGUGUCAAGAAAGCCAUUUUGGCAUCAAUACUCCAUCUCAGGAGGCAACCAUACCACCUCAAUAGUCCUCUCCACUCUCUUGCUCUGAGCUCUCCAGUUCUUAUGAUCGUCCAUGUUGAACUCAAUCUGUCAAAUUUCAGUACCUAGCAGUCUCUUGCCACCAGAAUUACACCACUAUAAAGAGA
Molecule: long non-coding RNA, 1663 nt
Organism: Leopardus geoffroyi (Geoffroy's cat)
Lineage: Eukaryota; Metazoa; Chordata; Mammalia; Carnivora; Felidae
Exons: 2
Source: RefSeq, a predicted model, not a curated record